This 406-nucleotide ribosomal RNA is filed under the name uncultured bacterium. RNAcentral's name for it is "partial 16S ribosomal RNA". It matches the Rfam family "Bacterial small subunit ribosomal RNA", at positions 30 to 526 of the family's 1533-position model. The record is from RNAcentral.
AUUGAACGCUGGCGGCAGGCCUAACACAUGCAAGUCGAGCGAGCGGCGGACGGGUGAGUAAUGUCUGGGAAACUGCCUGUUGGUGGGGGAUAACUACUGGAACCGGUAGCUAAUACCGCAUACCAUCAGAUGUGCCCAGAUGGGAUUAGCUAGUAGGUGGGGUAAUGGCUCACCUAGGCGACGAUCCCUAGCUGGUCUGAGAGGAUGACCAGCCAGUCUGGAACUGGGACACGGUCCAGACUCCUACGGGAGGCAGCAGUGGGGAAUAUCGCACAAUGGGCGCAAGCCUGAUGCAGCCAUGCCGCGUGUAUGAAGAAGGCCUUCGGGUUGUAAAGUACUUUCAGAGAGGAGGCGUUAAUCGCAGAAGAAGCACCGGCUAACUCCGUGCCAGCCGCCGCGGUAAUUC